This 622-nucleotide long non-coding RNA is filed under the name Aquila chrysaetos chrysaetos. RNAcentral's name for it is "lncRNA (ENSACCG00020012592.1)". The record is from RNAcentral. Lineage: Eukaryota; Metazoa; Chordata; Aves; Accipitriformes; Accipitridae.
GCCUUCGGUGCUUGUCAUGCGGUUAGGGGAUGCUGUCCUAAAGUGAGGCACAGAAGUAGAUGAUCCGGUCUGCUGCGCCCGGCGUCGUGAACCGGUGCGAGGCAGAGGGAGGAUGAAUCGCACACUCCUGGAAAGCAACAGGGAGAGUACCACGAUUCUGCCCUCGCUGGCGUGAAAGUUAAUCAGGAAUGUGCUGGAAUAAAUCCAUAUGCGCUUCAAAGACACAUCGGUGUCAAAUUAGUGGAAAGGAGAGGGGAAUUCAGGCCAGUAAGAUCUGCUGAUAGGGUCAAGUGGCCUCCCUGUCCCUGGGUCUGCCUUUUGGAAACACAAACUGCACUUUGGUUUCACUUUUAGAAGUGUGAGCCAAAUCGUGAUGCUUACAGAAAGCAAGAGGAGCGGAAGAAGAUGGGAAAGUCCCGUGAUCAGGGUGCGAGAGGAUCACACCACGGCUCACUCUGUUCUCCAGUCUUGUUACGUGGAUUUCUCUCUCUCCGAGUAAUUUCUCAGCAUCCCCUUGAAUGGCAUCUACCACACAUAACUUUUCCAACCCACAAGGCUGAAGCAACUUCCCAUAGCUGAAAUGACUCCAGCACAGCUAUUCCCUAGAAGACAUCCUCCCUGA